RNAcentral lists this unclassified non-coding RNA (1629 nucleotides) under Leishmania donovani. Its description in RNAcentral is "gene:LdHU3.18.0440(CDS-product:GPI-anchor_transam idase_subunit_8_(GPI8)_putative)". The record is from RNAcentral. Lineage: Eukaryota; Euglenozoa; Kinetoplastea; Trypanosomatida; Trypanosomatidae.
CUCAUUUUUUUCUUUCGCUUGCUCUCCCUCGUUCUCUCGCUGCUGGUGCGUGCCGCCUCUCUCUUGCAAAUCGCCAAGACGGCGACACACUGCACCAGCCGCGGCAGCAGAAGGUAGUGGGGGCAUGCGGCUGUGCCGGCUCUUCCCUUCACAUUCCAGCAAUCGAUAGCUAGUGCAGUUCCGGCUGUUUGUGCACACCACAGCUCAGGUGAUGACGUUUCCAACACGGUGUACCGCGACGACGUUGCUGGUCGUUGUUCUUGUUCUCACCGCCUCGUCCUGUUUGUCAGACGCGUAUGCUGCGGUCAUGAACGCCGCCGCGGCCGCCGCGUCUGCGCCGCUGGAGGCGACAGGCAAGGGCCAGAGCAACAACUGGGCUGUCAUCGUCUCUUCCUCGCGGUACCUCUUCAACUACCGCCACACCGCCAAUGCGCUUACCAUGUACCACCUCUUGCGUCAACACGGCAUCGACGACGACCAUAUUCUUCUCUUUUUGAGUGACAGCUUCGCCUGCGAUCCACGAAAUGUGUACCCUGCGGAGAUCUUUUCGCAGCCCCCAGGAGAGCGCGACGCGAAUGGGCACGCGAGCAUGAAUCUGUACGGCUGCAGCGCGCAAGUGGACUACGCGGGCAGCGACGUGGACGUGCGCCGCUUUCUAAGUGUGUUGCAGGGCCGCUAUGACGAGAACACGCCGCCCACGCGGCGGCUCCUUUCGGACGACAAGUCGAACAUCAUCAUCUACGUCGCGGGGCACGGCGCGAAGUCGUUCUUCAAGUUUCAGGACACGGAGUUUCUGAGCUCAUCGGACAUUUCGGAGACGCUGAUGAUGAUGCACCAGCAGCGGCGGUACGGUCGCAUUGUUUUCUUGGCUGAUACAUGCCAUGCGAUUGCGCUGUGCGAGCAUGUGGAGGCGCCGAACGUUUUAUGUCUCGCCGCCUCGGAUGCCGAGUCGGAGAGCUACUCGUUCCAGUACGACGAACAGCUUGGUACGCAUAUGGUUUCCUUUUGGAUGAAUGAGAUGUACUCGUUGCUGAACGGCACGAGCUGCAGCAACCCGCUCACUCGCCGCAUCGGCAACGAUGCAGUGUCGGUGCUGCAUCAAUCGUGGUACAACUUCAAUUAUCACCCCUACCGAGUGGAGGCGAGUCGAAACCGCUCGAAGCCAGCGCACCGCGACGCCGUGAACGACCCGACUGCUCUGAGAGAGUGGAUUGUAGCCGACUUUGUGUGCGGCCGGGUGCCGGCAGCGGUGCCAGUGGACGUUCGCUACGACCUCGAGUAGCGUGUCGCAUCUACGUCGCUGCGCUGAUGGUAUGUGCAUGGGCGCGUGUGACACGCGUCGUGUGCUCGAGGGGGGGGGAGGCGCCUACAGCCGCACGCAUGGAUCCAUGACUAGACGUGGCCCCCUCUUUCCCGACCGAAGCAAAAAAAGAACGCGAAGACGCCAACAACGUCGAAGGCCUGUGUCAAAACCGUGUGUGUGAUGUGCAGCGCAAGGUGGGGGGGGGCGAGAAGAUGCGAUACGGAGCGGGGCGCGGCUUACGAGCGUUGCUGCGCCGCUUCUCUCUAGUCUCUCUCUGUUAUGUUUGUGGUUUUUUUUACUUAUCCAUGUGAAUUACACGUCUCCAC